This 399-nucleotide transfer-messenger RNA is filed under the name Odoribacteraceae bacterium. It matches the Rfam family "transfer-messenger RNA". From Rfam's summary of the family: Bacterial tmRNA, also known as 10Sa RNA or SsrA, is named for its dual tRNA and mRNA-like properties. Lineage: Bacteria; Pseudomonadati; Bacteroidota; Bacteroidia; Bacteroidales; Odoribacteraceae. The record is from RNAcentral.
GGGGUAGACAUGGAUUUGACAGCAUGAAGAACAGGUAUGUAAGCACGUCGGGAGUGGUGAGGCCGGCCCGUUAAUCCCGGACACGAACAAUUAAUUGGCGAAACAAAGUACGCUCUCGCUGCCUAAUCGAAUCACAGUAGAACAGGCUUAAUCCCCGCUCGGCGAGUGGGGACGAGACAUUCCACCGGAGGUCCCGCCUUGUGCCAUCCGGGUUCGGGGUGCAGCAAAGACGAGGCUAGCGCGCGGCACGCCCCGCGACACGCGCGAAAUUUCAGGGGCUAAGACGCGAGUUGGGUGCUUUUCCCCGUGUCGCGUUCGAAAACCAACGAGAAGAUAAGCGUGUAGAAAGCAUAUCGAUUCCAUGUUUGGACCGGGGUUCGAUUCCCCGCUACUCCACAG